CCGGGUUCCAUCCUCAGCACCACACACUGAAAACCAGACCUCCAAGUUCUCCCAAGCCUGGGUCAGGUCUGAGCUAGCCAAGCUGCUGCGGUCCCAGCACACAGGAGACGGAGGUAGAAAGAUACCUCGAACCUGGACGUUGGAGGCCAGCUGGGCAACAUAACAAGACCCAUCUCAAAAAAUUAAUAUUAAAUAAAAGCUAGGUGCAAUGGCACACACCUGAGAUCUCAAUUACUCGGGAGGCUGAGACAGGAGGAUGCAAGUUUGAGGCCAGCCUGGGUGACUUAGGGAGACCCUGUCUCAAUAAAAGAUAAAAAGGGCUAGGGAUGUAGCUUGGUGGUAGUGUGCCCCUGGAUUCAAUCCCCAGUACCAAAAUAAAUAUAUGAGCUCAGAUGGUACCUCCUGACUAAGGCCUUCUCUGAUCACCCCGUUUAAAGUGCCCUGGGGGCUGGGAUGUUGCUCAGUGGUAGAGUGUGUGCUUAACACGCACAAGGCCUUGGGUUCAAUUCCCAGCACCAAACAUUUUAAAAUAAAACAAAGCUCUCAGAACAGAUUUCUUUUCUAUUUUGUUUUCUGAUAUCUGUAACUCCCAGAAAGGUGUCCAACACCUCAUAGACCCUCACCAAAUAUUUGUUGAAAGAACCAAUGAAGGAGGGCAUAGUGGCACAUGCCUGUAAUUACAGUUGCUCAGGAGGCUGAGGCAGGAGGAUCAUAAGUUCAAGGCCAGCCUCAGCAACUUAAUGUGAUCCUGUCUCAAAAUAAAAAAUAAAAGGCCUGAGGAUGCAGCUUGGUGGUAGAGUUCCCUUGGGUUUAGUGCAGGAAGGAAGGAAGGACAAGCCAGUGAAUUCCCACUGGGGUCCCUCUCCCUUGUCACUCCACGGCCCCUCCCCAAGGCUUGUGUUGGGAUCAGUAGAUUAGGGCUCAUACUUACCAGCUGUGAUGUGGAGGGAAUGGGGUGCCACAGGGUGGUGACAAAGGCAGACCUCAGCCCACAACAGUCCAUCUGUAAAACGAGGAUGCUAUUUCCUGACUGGGGAGCCACCCAAAGUUCUCCUAAUGGAUCAGCUCUACCCGGAGACCAUGUGACCCCUGG
This 1093-nucleotide long non-coding RNA is filed under the name Marmota monax (woodchuck). The stretch from base 450 to 519 matches the Rfam family "tRNA". Lineage: Eukaryota; Metazoa; Chordata; Mammalia; Rodentia; Sciuridae. The record is from RNAcentral.